UUACGGCCAAAUCACAUUGAAACACCAGUUCUUGUAUGAUCACUGAAGUUAGGCAGUGUCCAGCCAGGUCAGUACCCAGAUGGGUGACUGCUUGGGAAUGCCAGGUGCUGUAA
Non-coding RNA from Acanthosepion pharaonis, 113 nucleotides. NCBI's taxonomy places the organism in Eukaryota, Metazoa, Mollusca, Cephalopoda, Sepiida, Sepiidae. The record is from the annotation of a GenBank genome assembly.